UACGGAGGAUGCAAGCGUUAUCCGGAUUUAUUGGGUUUAAAGGGUGCGUAGGCGGAUACGUAAGUCAGCGGUGAAACUCACAGGCUCAACCUGUGCCGUGCCGUUGAAACUGUGUAUCUGGAAUGCGGAUGCUGUGGGAGGAAUGUGUAGUGUAGCGGUGAAAUGCAUAGAUAUUACACAGAACACCGAUUGCGAAGGCAUCUCACAAAGCCGUUAUUGACGCUGAGGCACGAAAGUGUGGGGAUCAAACA
This 251-nucleotide ribosomal RNA is filed under the name uncultured prokaryote. RNAcentral's name for it is "partial 16S ribosomal RNA". It matches the Rfam family "Bacterial small subunit ribosomal RNA", at positions 524 to 774 of the family's 1533-position model. The record is from RNAcentral.